Molecule: long non-coding RNA, 407 nt
Organism: Saccostrea echinata
Lineage: Eukaryota; Metazoa; Mollusca; Bivalvia; Ostreida; Ostreidae
Exons: 3
Source: RefSeq, a predicted model, not a curated record
CACUAGACCUUCUGGAUCGGUCACGACAGUUAGAAGCACCUCCAGAAGAUCAACGAUAUCCACGCUUCUGCCAACUACCUCUAGAACCACUCAGUCUAGAAGCACUGUGUUUCCAACUUCUUCUGACAUUACACCAUCAACACAAUGGCCAAUAUCAUCACAAACGACAAUAAUACCAACCACUUCAUCAACACAGAUGACAAUGGCGCCAUCUUCUGGUAGUAGUGAGGAGAGUGAUUCUUCCAAUAGUGAUAGCAGCGAGAAAAAGAGAAAGAAGGAAUGGAAGAAGAAAUUGAAGAAAAUGGAAAAAGAAAGAAAGAAAAAUGAAAAGAGGAUGAAAGCUUUGAGGAAGAAAAAUGAAAAGAGAAUGAAAGCUCUGAGGAAGAAAUACGAAAAGCUAAUAAUGC